RNAcentral lists this ribosomal RNA (262 nucleotides) under uncultured bacterium. RNAcentral describes it as "partial 16S ribosomal RNA". It matches the Rfam family "Bacterial small subunit ribosomal RNA", at positions 333 to 609 of the family's 1533-position model. The record is from RNAcentral.
CGACGCCUACGGGGGGCAGCAGUGGGGAAUAUUGGACAAUGGGGGGAACCCUGAUCCAGCGACGCCGCGUGAGUGAAGAAGUAUUUCGGUAUGUAAAGCUCUAUCAGCAGGGAAGAAAGAAAUGACGGUACCUGAAUAAGAAGCCCCGGCUAACUACGUGCCAGCAGCCGCGGUAAUACGUAGGGGGCAAGCGUUAUCCGGAUUUACUGGGUGUAAAGGGAGCGUAGACGGCGGUGCAAGUCUGGAGUGAAAGGAAGGGGCC